Molecule: transfer RNA, 73 nt
Filed under: Cordyceps farinosa
Lineage: Eukaryota; Fungi; Ascomycota; Sordariomycetes; Hypocreales; Cordycipitaceae
Description: tRNA-Asp
Rfam family: tRNA
About the family: Transfer RNA (tRNA) molecules are approximately 80 nucleotides in length. Their secondary structure includes four short double-helical elements and three loops (D, anti-codon, and T loops). Further hydrogen bonds mediate the characteristic L-shaped molecular structure. tRNAs have two regions of fundamental functional importance: the anti-codon, which is responsible for specific mRNA codon recognition, and the 3' end, to which the tRNAs corresponding amino acid is attached (by aminoacyl-tRNA synthetases). tRNAs cope with the degeneracy of the genetic code in two manners: having more than one tRNA (with a specific anti-codon) for a particular amino acid; and 'wobble' base-pairing, i.e. permitting non-standard base-pairing at the 3rd anti-codon position.
Source: RNAcentral
GAACUAAUAACUUAAUCGGUAAAGGAUUUCUCUGUCACAGAAGUAGAUGUGGGAUCGAGGCCCACUUAGUUCG